RNAcentral lists this non-coding RNA (31 nucleotides) under Homo sapiens (human). The record is from RNAcentral. Lineage: Eukaryota; Metazoa; Chordata; Mammalia; Primates; Hominidae.
UUCCCCAGGCAAACUCUGCCGUCAUUCUGCC